UUUAUCAAAGGUUACUCUCUACUCAGCACUAGAAUGGCUUAGUAAAGCUGGGGCAUCCUGGUCAAGUACAUGUCCUAAUUUUUUUUGAUAUCAAGAUAAUCUUUAGAUUUUUAAGCCAGUCUUUAAACUUGGUUCCAAUCAAACGAUUGAACUCCAGGAUGUGGGUUAAAGGGUUUGAAGCUGACAUAGUUUAACUGUGAAAGUAGAGAUUCAAGUUAGACAUUUGUACUUAAAUUUUAUAUUUAUCCUAAAGACUUUAAGAAGCAAGCAUGCUCCCACUAUUUUUUCGAAUCCCUACAUAUCCUGGGUGGAGAAGCAAAAAUUCUAAUGCGACAAUUGGAUUUCUAGUGGGUAUUGCGGUCCUACCGAUGUCGUGUAUCUCACCUAACAUAUAUGGGUAAUAUGUACAUCAAUGCGUGGAUAACUCCUUGUUUAGAUGCUUCUCUAAGCAUGUUGCAGUGACUUAGUCUCUAAGUCAUGUAGGUUCACCUGAUAAAUAUUGACCACACUUCUUAGUUAAGCCCAAUCUAUUAUUUAUAAGUAGGUACAAAGCCAUCAUUAGGCCUCUUACCUGAUAGAUAUUGGGCCCAAUCCUACCCUUACCUUGGAGCAACUUUUUUCUAAUAGAGUGGUUGCAUGCUCCC
RNAcentral lists this long non-coding RNA (644 nucleotides) under Elaeis guineensis (African oil palm). RNAcentral describes it as "long non-coding RNA (EGUI_LNC041469)". Lineage: Eukaryota; Viridiplantae; Streptophyta; Magnoliopsida; Arecales; Arecaceae. The record is from RNAcentral.